This 293-nucleotide ribosomal RNA is filed under the name uncultured bacterium. Its description in RNAcentral is "partial 16S ribosomal RNA". It matches the Rfam family "Bacterial small subunit ribosomal RNA", at positions 775 to 1067 of the family's 1533-position model. The record is from RNAcentral.
GGAUUAGAUACCCUGGUAGUCCACGCCGUAAACGAUGUCUACUAGCCGUUGGGGAACUUGAUUCUUUAGUGGCGCAGCUAACGCACUAAGUAGACCGCCUGGGGAGUACGGCCGCAAGGUUAAAACUCAAAUGAAUUGACGGGGGCCCGCACAAGCGGUGGAGCAUGUGGUUUAAUUCGAUGCAACGCGAAGAACCUUACCAGGCCUUGACAUCCUCGGAACUUUCUAGAGAUAGAUUGGUGCCUUCGGGAACCGAGUGACAGGUGCUGCAUGGCUGUCGUCAGCUCGUGCCG